RNAcentral lists this ribosomal RNA (474 nucleotides) under uncultured organism. RNAcentral describes it as "partial 16S ribosomal RNA". It matches the Rfam family "Bacterial small subunit ribosomal RNA", at positions 332 to 797 of the family's 1533-position model. The record is from RNAcentral.
UACACUCCUACGGGAGGCAGCAGUGGGGAAUUUUGGACAAUGGGCGAAAGCCUGAUCCAGCAAUGCCGCGUGAGUGAAGAAGGCCUUCGGGUUGUAAAGCUCUUUUGUCAGGGAAGAAACGGUGAAAGCUAAUAUCUUUUGCUAAUGACGGUACCUGAAGAAUAAGCACCGGCUAACUACGUGCCAGCAGCCGCGGUAAUACGUAGGGUGCAAGCGUUAAUCGGAAUUACUGGGCGUAAAGCGUGCGCAGGCGGUUUUGUAAGUCUGAUGUGAAAUCCCCGGGCUCAACCUGGGAAUUGCAUUGGAGACUGCAAGGCUAGAAUCUGGCAGAGGGGGGUAGAAUUCCACGUGUAGCAGUGAAAUGCGUAGAUAUGUGGAGGAACACCGAUGGCGAAGGCAGCCCCCUGGGUCAAGAUUGACGCUCAUGCACGAAAGCGUGGGGAGCAAACAGGAUUAGAAACCCGGGUAGUCCCA